AGGGGCAUAGCCAAGCGGUAAGGCAGCGGGUUUUGAUCCCGUCAUGCGAAGGUUCGAAUCCUUCUGCCCCUGCCA
RNAcentral lists this transfer RNA (75 nucleotides) under Simiduia agarivorans. Its description in RNAcentral is "tRNA-Gln". It matches the Rfam family "tRNA". From Rfam's summary of the family: Transfer RNA (tRNA) molecules are approximately 80 nucleotides in length. Their secondary structure includes four short double-helical elements and three loops (D, anti-codon, and T loops). Further hydrogen bonds mediate the characteristic L-shaped molecular structure. tRNAs have two regions of fundamental functional importance: the anti-codon, which is responsible for specific mRNA codon recognition, and the 3' end, to which the tRNAs corresponding amino acid is attached (by aminoacyl-tRNA synthetases). tRNAs cope with the degeneracy of the genetic code in two manners: having more than one tRNA (with a specific anti-codon) for a particular amino acid; and 'wobble' base-pairing, i.e. permitting non-standard base-pairing at the 3rd anti-codon position. The record is from RNAcentral. Lineage: Bacteria; Pseudomonadati; Pseudomonadota; Gammaproteobacteria; Cellvibrionales; Cellvibrionaceae. RNAcentral also lists the same sequence under 3 other names.